Molecule: ribosomal RNA, 301 nt
Filed under: uncultured bacterium
Lineage: Bacteria
Description: partial 16S ribosomal RNA
Rfam family: Bacterial small subunit ribosomal RNA
Source: RNAcentral
CAGUCGCCGCGGUAAUACAGAGGGUGCGAGCGUUAAUCGGAUUUACUGGGCGUAAAGCGUGCGUAGGCGGCUUCUUAAGUCGGAUGUGAAAUCCCUGAGCUUAACUUAGGAAUUGCAUUCGAUACUGGGAAGCUAGAGUAUGGGAGAGGAUGGUAGAAUUCCAGGUGUAGCGGUGAAAUGCGUAAAGAUCUGGAGGAAUACCGAUGGCGAAGGCAGCCAUCUGGCCUAAUACUGACGCUGAGGUACGAAAGCAUGGGGAGCAAACAGGAUUAGAUACCCCAGUAGUCCCUGUCUCUUAUAC